RNAcentral lists this transfer RNA (73 nucleotides) under Siphoviridae sp. ctLqe90. RNAcentral describes it as "tRNA-Pro". It matches the Rfam family "tRNA". From Rfam's summary of the family: Transfer RNA (tRNA) molecules are approximately 80 nucleotides in length. Their secondary structure includes four short double-helical elements and three loops (D, anti-codon, and T loops). Further hydrogen bonds mediate the characteristic L-shaped molecular structure. tRNAs have two regions of fundamental functional importance: the anti-codon, which is responsible for specific mRNA codon recognition, and the 3' end, to which the tRNAs corresponding amino acid is attached (by aminoacyl-tRNA synthetases). tRNAs cope with the degeneracy of the genetic code in two manners: having more than one tRNA (with a specific anti-codon) for a particular amino acid; and 'wobble' base-pairing, i.e. permitting non-standard base-pairing at the 3rd anti-codon position. Lineage: Duplodnaviria; Heunggongvirae; Uroviricota; Caudoviricetes. The record is from RNAcentral. RNAcentral also lists the same sequence under 1 other name.
CUGGGUGUAGCUCAGUUGAAAGAGCGCCGCAUUUGGGAUGCGGAGGUCGUGAGUUUGAGCCUCGCCACUCAGA